This 873-nucleotide ribosomal RNA is filed under the name uncultured bacterium. Its description in RNAcentral is "bacterial SSU rRNA". It matches the Rfam family "Bacterial small subunit ribosomal RNA", at positions 29 to 915 of the family's 1533-position model. The record is from RNAcentral.
ACGAACGCUGGCGGCGCGCCUAACACAUGCAAGUCGAACGAGAGAGAAGGAGCUUGCUUCUUCGAUCGAGUGGCGAACGGGUGAGUAACGCGUGAGGAACCUGCCUCAAAGAGGGGGACAACAGUUGGAAACGACUGCUAAUACCGCAUAAGCCCACGGGUCGGCAUCGACCAGAGGGAAAAGGAGCAAUCCGCUUUGAGAUGGCCUCGCGUCCGAUUAGCUAGUUGGUGAGGUAAUGGCCCACCAAGGCGACGAUCGGUAGCCGGACUGAGAGGUUGAACGGCCACAUUGGGACUGAGACACGGCCCAGACUCCUACGGGAGGCAGCAGUGGGGAAUAUUGCACAAUGGGGGAAACCCUGAUGCAGCGACGCCGCGUGGAGGAAGAAGGUCUUCGGAUUGUAAACUCCUGUUGUUGAGGAAGAUAAUGACGGUACUCAACAAGGAAGUGACGGCUAACUACGUGCCAGCAGCCGCGGUAAAACGUAGGUCACAAGCGUUGUCCGGAAUUACUGGGUGUAAAGGGAGCGCAGGCGGGAAGACAAGUUGGAAGUGAAAUCCAUGGGCUCAACCCAUGAACUGCUUUCAAAACUGUUUUUCUUGAGUAGUGCAGAGGUAGGCGGAAUUCCCGGUGUAGCGGUGGAAUGCGUAGAUAUCGGGAGGAACACCAGUGGCGAAGGCGGCCUACUGGGCACCAACUGACGCUGAGGCUCGAAAGUGUGGGUAGCAAACAGGAUUAGAUACCCUGGUAGUCCACACCGUAAACGAUGAUUACUAGGUGUUGGAGGAUUGACCCCUUCAGUGCCGCAGUUAACACAAUAAGUAAUCCACCUGGGGAGUACGACCGCAAGGUUGAAACUCAAAGGAAUUGACG